GGAUGUGAGGGCCACCUGGCUGCAACAUCCACCACUCCAUUGACCACCAGGAUUGAUUCCGUUGAUCUGGCUAGCUAGGUGGGUGUUUCGAUAGAGGAAGACUGCUCUUUAGUCAGGGAUAUACAAGUAACUACAUUCCCCUCCAAGAACUUCAAACAAGCUCUCAAGGUCCAUUUGUAGGAGAAGGUAGGGUAAUCAAGCUUCUAAGACUCAAGACCCAUCCAAAUGAGGUGCUACAUGUGGCAGUCUGCUUUUCUGA
This 259-nucleotide small nuclear RNA is filed under the name Canis lupus familiaris (dog). RNAcentral describes it as "7SK RNA". It matches the Rfam family "7SK RNA". Rfam says of the family: 7SK was discovered as an abundant small nuclear RNA in the mid-70s but a possible function has only recently been suggested. Two independent studies have found that 7SK RNA binds the CDK9/cyclin T complex (known as elongation factor P-TEFb). The record is from Rfam by way of RNAcentral. RNAcentral also lists the same sequence under 1 other name. Lineage: Eukaryota; Metazoa; Chordata; Mammalia; Carnivora; Canidae.